CCAGUCGGAAACAACUUACAGCUGCUGCUGUUGUUCCAGGCUGUUGAUGGACCCGUCCUCCGGUGCCUACUGAGCUGAUAUCAGUUCUGAUUUUACACACUGGCUCAGUUCAGCAGGAACAGGAGUCGAGCC
This is a microRNA precursor of Camarhynchus parvulus, 132 nucleotides long. NCBI's taxonomy places the organism in Eukaryota, Metazoa, Chordata, Aves, Passeriformes, Thraupidae. The record is from Ensembl.